CCGUCGAUAGCUCAGUUGGUAGAGCGGUGGACUGUAGAAGACAAUUACUGGCAUCCAUAGGUCGCUGGUUCGAAUCCGGCUCGACGGA
RNAcentral lists this transfer RNA (88 nucleotides) under Haemaphysalis longicornis (longhorned tick). It matches the Rfam family "tRNA". Rfam says of the family: Transfer RNA (tRNA) molecules are approximately 80 nucleotides in length. Their secondary structure includes four short double-helical elements and three loops (D, anti-codon, and T loops). Further hydrogen bonds mediate the characteristic L-shaped molecular structure. tRNAs have two regions of fundamental functional importance: the anti-codon, which is responsible for specific mRNA codon recognition, and the 3' end, to which the tRNAs corresponding amino acid is attached (by aminoacyl-tRNA synthetases). tRNAs cope with the degeneracy of the genetic code in two manners: having more than one tRNA (with a specific anti-codon) for a particular amino acid; and 'wobble' base-pairing, i.e. permitting non-standard base-pairing at the 3rd anti-codon position. The record is from Rfam by way of RNAcentral. Lineage: Eukaryota; Metazoa; Arthropoda; Arachnida; Ixodida; Ixodidae.